UACACCGCAGGUCCCUAUUAUCAUUUAGCUUUUCAUUCUGUGAUUCUCCAUAGGAGGGAGUUGGGGGUAACAUCCUUUCAGGCUUGAUGUUCUAUUAAGAAGUGGGUGUUCUUUUUACCCUUAUUCACAAACUCCCAGUGGCGACCGCCUUGAGUGGGCUGUUUCUCUUCUUAGUCCAGCUAAAUCUGUGGGACAGCUCAGAGGGAUUUUCCUCCCUGAGUCCCCGACAGCAGUGGGGCACCUCUGUGGGCGCCCCGUUUCCAAAACAACUUUUACAUGGAUGAUGGCCAGAGGUGCAAAGACUCGUAUUCCAAAUUCACUUCGACCUCUCCUCCAUCUUGGGAAGAAAACCGCCAAGCCACCUUGGCAUCAUGAGGAGAGCCAGCUCAAAAGCACAAGUUAACACCACAACGAUGGUGGAUAGGAGGGUGUGAAACUCUGGGGCCUCGACAGCAUCAUUGAGUUAUUGCUGAUGAACCAAUUUAGGCAAAACUCCAUCUGCAGACUUCUUACAUGAGGUGUUCCUUACCUGCCCGCCUCACCUGUCCGUUCUGAGGACCCCAGCACCGUCCCAUGAAGAACGAAAGCAGGCAUCAGGCCACUCCUUCAUGCCCGCCUGUUGUGGUCCAGGCGUCGGAAGGACUCUUGGUGAUCUGUCCACUUCAAGCUUUGCUGUCUCACUUGGAAUGUUGCGGUAACAACAUAUGCAUUCUACCCACUGGUUUUGCCUAUUCCCAUUCAGAUACUACAAUGGAACCAGGGAUGUACUUUCCUGAAGGCAGACCUGAUGGUGCUGCUUCUCUGCUCACCAUCAUUUAACGACCUUAUUAUCUACGGAUAUCUGCAGGCGUCUAGGUCCACCGUGGAAGGCCUGGCUCCAUCUGGGCCCUGCCUCCUCUGCCGUCUCACCUUUCCCCUCAUCUUCCAUAGAUAUAAAAAUCUACCCACGUCCAACUACCUUAGCAUCUGGAGUGUGACCCAUGCUAAUACCUCCUUGGUGCCUUUAUUGCUGCCACUGCCCUAACUCUGGAUUGCAUUCUCUACCUUGUUCUCCCUGCACCUCCUUUUUUGAGUCACGUCUUUUUUUUUUUUUCCAAAAUAAGGCCUGGCUCUGUCACCCAGGCUGGAGUGCAGUGGCG
Molecule: long non-coding RNA, 1139 nt
Organism: Sapajus apella (tufted capuchin)
Lineage: Eukaryota; Metazoa; Chordata; Mammalia; Primates; Cebidae
Exons: 3
Source: RefSeq, a predicted model, not a curated record